ACCAGAGUAAAACAUUUUAAAACUUGAACCCAGCGAAAUAUACAUGUGUAUUAUCGCUACCUGGUGUAAAAACAUAGUUAGCAGGUUAUUACAGCAUUUUAUUGGUGUGUUCUUCUUCAUGAGCGAUCAAAUGUAUUUGACAAGUGUGAGUGUUAACUUGUGAAUAGUUUGAAAAUUUGGAGCAGGAGGCUGGCCGAUUGAGAUGCUUUCCUCUUUGUAGAUACUGCAGAAGUUCAGUCGCCAUGAGCUGCGCAAACGAGGAUUUGGACACUCACACAUCACUGCUCUGACUGAUGGCUCCUCUGCCUAGCACUUCAGGUGCCUGCCACUUCUUCAGCUCUAUGUCCUCGACUUCGC
Molecule: long non-coding RNA, 357 nt
Organism: Micropterus salmoides (largemouth bass)
Lineage: Eukaryota; Metazoa; Chordata; Actinopteri; Centrarchiformes; Centrarchidae
Exons: 3
Source: RefSeq, a predicted model, not a curated record